UGACAAAUCACCAUGACCUACCCGGAGC
Molecule: non-coding RNA, 28 nt
Filed under: Rattus norvegicus (Norway rat)
Lineage: Eukaryota; Metazoa; Chordata; Mammalia; Rodentia; Muridae
Source: RNAcentral